RNAcentral lists this ribosomal RNA (767 nucleotides) under Escherichia coli. Its description in RNAcentral is "partial 23S ribosomal RNA". It matches the Rfam family "Bacterial large subunit ribosomal RNA", at positions 2164 to 2925 of the family's 2925-position model. The record is from RNAcentral. Lineage: Bacteria; Pseudomonadati; Pseudomonadota; Gammaproteobacteria; Enterobacterales; Enterobacteriaceae.
GUGGACGCCAGUCUGCAUGGAGCCGACCUUGAAAUACCACCCUUUAAUGUUUGAUGUUCUAACGUUGACCCGUAAUCCGGGUUGCGGACAGUGUCUGGUGGGUAGUUUGACUGGGGCGGUCUCCUCCUAAAGAGUAACGGAGGAGCACGAAGGUUGGCUAAUCCUGGUCGGACAUCAGGAGGUUAGUGCAAUGGCAUAAGCCAGCUUGACUGCGAGCGUGACGGCGCGAGCAGGUGCGAAAGCAGGUCAUAGUGAUCCGGUGGUUCUGAAUGGAAGGGCCAUCGCUCAACGGAUAAAAGGUACUCCGGGGAUAACAGGCUGAUACCGCCCAAGAGUUCAUAUCGACGGCGGUGUUUGGCACCUCGAUGUCGGCUCAUCACAUCCUGGGGCUGAAGUAGGUCCCAAGGGUAUGGCUGUUCGCCAUUUAAAGUGGUACGCGAGCUGGGUUUAGAACGUCGUGAGACAGUUCGGUCCCUAUCUGCCGUGGGCGCUGGAGAACUGAGGGGGGCUGCUCCUAGUACGAGAGGACCGGAGUGGACGCAUCACUGGUGUUCGGGUUGUCAUGCCAAUGGCACUGCCCGGUAGCUAAAUGCGGAAGAGAUAAGUGCUGAAAGCAUCUAAGCACGAAACUUGCCCCGAGAUGAGUUCUCCCUGACUCCUUGAGAGUCCUGAAGGAACGUUGAAGACGACGACGUUGAUAGGCCGGGUGUGUAAGCGCAGCGAUGCGUUGAGCUAACCGGUACUAAUGAACCGUGAGGCUUAACCUU